Non-coding RNA from Lemur catta (Ring-tailed lemur), 1071 nucleotides. NCBI's taxonomy places the organism in Eukaryota, Metazoa, Chordata, Mammalia, Primates, Lemuridae. The record is from the annotation of a RefSeq genome assembly.
UGGGUAAAUGGAUGGCAGAUAUAUCAAGAUGUUUGGCUCUGGCACAAAGCUCAUCGUCACAGAUAAAGACCUUGAUGGAGAUGUUUCCCCAAAGCCCACUAUUUUUCUCCCAUCAAUUGCUGAAACAAAUCUCCAUAAGGCUGGAACUCAUGUUUGUCUUCUUGAGAAUUUUUUCCCUGAUGUUAUUAGUGUAUAUUGGAAAGAAAAGAAUGGCAAUAAGAUCCUGGAAUCCCAGCAGGGAGAUACCAUGAAGACUGGCAGCACAUAUAUGAAACUUAGCUGGCUAACUGUGCCUGAAACGUCACUGGAUAAAGAGCACCUGUGCGUCGUCAAACACGAUAAUAACAAAGGAGGAGCUGAUCAAGAGAUUCUCUUUCCUCCAGUAAAGAAAGGAUUGUCAUAUGAAUUAUAUGAAACAACAUACCCAACAGCACCUAGCAACCUAGGACAUGUUGUCACUGCUAUUCCUUGUGUGCAAGAUGAAAAUGAUGAACUGUGGCUGCAGCUCACGAAUACCUCUGUGUACUACACUUACCUCCUCCUGCUCCUCAAGAGUGUGGUCUAUUUUGGGAUCAUCGCCUUCUGUCUGGUCAGAAGAACAGCUGUCUGCUGCAGUGGGAAGAGACCCUAAGAGAUCAUGGCACAAUAGGUUCAUCUUCUCUUCAUUGUUUAUAGUCCCAAAAAGUGUCUGCUGAGGAUCUAGCUGGGUUUCCUUUCUGGAUUUGGGCUAUUUCAGCUUCUGUGUGUAUUAUUCUAUGAUGUUAUUAUUUUGUGGUGGUUUUUCAAACCAGUGGGCAAACAGAAAACUUCAUCCUGUAACAACAGUGAGUUGCCCAGGGCAUCCUUUAGCACAAUUCUCUCCACAGUCUCCACCAGCGCCUCCACCCACCCCAGGUCAUCACAGCCUUAGUGUAGACAGCAGGCAGCUUCUAGCCUCCCCCCUCAGUGCCCUCCAGCCAGUUAACUGCCAGAAAGCCUUCCCUUUACACGCCCUGAAGCAACCUUGUUUGUGCUGGAAUGCUGUGCUUUGUUUUUUAUAAUAUGCACAAUAAAGUUAAACAAUGAGAAGUC